RNAcentral lists this ribosomal RNA (199 nucleotides) under uncultured bacterium. RNAcentral describes it as "partial 16S ribosomal RNA". It matches the Rfam family "Bacterial small subunit ribosomal RNA", at positions 328 to 539 of the family's 1533-position model. The record is from RNAcentral.
ACGCUCGACACCUACGGGAGGCAGCAGUGGGGAAUAUUGCACAAUGGGGGAAACCCGUGAUGCAGCGACGCCGCGUGAGCGAAGAAGUAUCUCGGUAUGUAAAGCUCUAUCAGCAGGGAAGAAAAUGACGGUACCUGACUAAGAAGCACCGGCUAAAUACGUGGCAGCAGCCGCGGUAAUCUGAGCGGGCUGGCAAGGC